GGACGAACGCUGGCGGCGUGCCUAAKACAUGCAAGUCGAGCGSACUUAAAAAGCUUGCUUUUUAAGUUAGCGGCGGACGGGUGAGUAACACGUGGGCAACCUGCCUGUAAGACUGGGAUAACUUCGGGAAACCGGAGCUAAUACCGGAUAAUCCUUUUCUACUCAUGUAGAAAAGCUGAAAGACGGUUUACGCUGUCACUUACAGAUGGGCCCGCGGCGCAUUAGCUAGUUGGUGAGGUAACGGCUCACCAAGGCGACGAUGCGUAGCCGACCUGAGAGGGUGAUCGGCCACACUGGGACUGAGACACGGCCCAGACUCCUACGGGAGGCAGCAGUAGGGAAUCUUCCGCAAUGGACGAAAGUCUGACGGAGCAACGCCGCGUGAGUGAUGAAGGUUUUCGGAUCGUAAAACUCUGUUGUUAGGGAAGAACAAGUACGAGAGUAACUGCUCGUACCUUGACGGUACCUAAC
Molecule: ribosomal RNA, 471 nt
Filed under: Niallia circulans
Lineage: Bacteria; Bacillati; Bacillota; Bacilli; Caryophanales; Bacillaceae
Description: bacterial SSU rRNA
Rfam family: Bacterial small subunit ribosomal RNA
Source: RNAcentral